This 373-nucleotide ribosomal RNA is filed under the name uncultured bacterium. Its description in RNAcentral is "bacterial SSU rRNA". It matches the Rfam family "Bacterial small subunit ribosomal RNA", at positions 525 to 896 of the family's 1533-position model. The record is from RNAcentral.
ACGUAGGUGGCAAGCGUUAUCCGGAAUUAUUGGGCGUAAAGCGCACGCAGGUGGCUUUUUAAGGCUGACGUGAAAGCUCCUGGCUUAACCGGGAGAGGUCGUUGGCGACUGGGAGGCUUGAGGCAAGGAGAGGGGCGUAGAAUUCCCGGUGUAGUGGUGGAAUGCGUAGAUAUCGGGGGGAAUACCAGAGGCGCAAGCGGCGCCCUGGCCUUGGCCUGACGCUCAGGUGCGAAAGCGUGGGGAGCGAACGGGAUUAGAUACCCCGGUAGUCCACGCCAUAAACGAUGAAUACUAGGUGUUGGGCGUGUUAAAACGCUCGGUACCGCAGCUAACGCGUUAAGUAUUCCGCCUGGGGAGUACGACCGCAAGGUUA